AUACGGAGGAUCCGAGCGUUAUCCGGAUUUAUUGGGUUUAAAGGGUGCGUAGGCGGCCUUUUAAGUCAGCGGUGAAAGUCUGUGGCUCAACCAUAGCAUUGCCGUUGAAACUGGGAGGCUUGAGUAUGUUUGAGGCAGGCGGAAUGCGUGGGGGAGGGGUGAAAUGCUUAGAUAUCACGCAGAACACCGAUUGCGUAGGCAGCUGACCAGACCGCAAAUGACGCUCAUGCACGAAAGUGCGGGUAUCAAACAGGAUUAGAUACCCUGGUAGUCCGCACAGUAAACGAUGAAUACUCGCUGUUUGCGAUACACUGUAAGCGGCCAAGCGAAAGCGUUAAGUAUUCCACCUGGGGAGUACGCCGGCAACGGUGAAACUCAAAUGAAUUGACGGGG
RNAcentral lists this ribosomal RNA (393 nucleotides) under uncultured bacterium. RNAcentral's name for it is "partial 16S ribosomal RNA". It matches the Rfam family "Bacterial small subunit ribosomal RNA", at positions 523 to 918 of the family's 1533-position model. The record is from RNAcentral.